AGCAAACAAGAGCGAACGGUGGAUGCCUAGGCUCAGGGAGGCGACGAAGGACGUGAUAAGCUGCGAAAAGCGCGGAGGAGGUGCAAAUAGCCAUUGAUACCGCGAUAUCCGAAUGGGGUAACCCAAUACUUUGAAGGAGUAUUACUCUGCUUAAAGCAGAGGGCAAACCCGGGGAACUGAAACAUCUAAGUACCCGGAGGAAUAGAAAAUAAGACAAUGAUUGCGCAAGUAGUGGCGAGCGAACGCGCAAGAGCCCAAACCGGUUAUGUUUCGGCAUAAUCGGGGUUGUAGGACUGCAACAAUUGACGUAAAGCGAACUGGAAACGUAGUGGAACCUUGUACCGUAGAAGGUGAAAGUCCUGUACAGGCAAGCGAUAACGCCAAUAGCAGUAUCCUGAGUAGCGCGGGACACGAGAAAUCCUGUGUGAAUUAGCGGGGCCCAUCCCGUAAGGCUAAAUACUCCCCUGAGACCGAUAGUGAACCAGUACCGUGAGGGAAAGGUGAAAAGAACCUUGAAUAAAGGAGUGAAAUAGACCCUGAACCCGUUCGCUUACAAGCGGUCGGAGCAUCAUUUAUGGUGUGACGGCGUGCCUUUUGCAUAAUGAACCUACGAGUUACUUUUGUUGGCAAGGUUAAGUUUUGAAGAAAUGCAGCCGAAGCGAAAGCGAGUCUUAACAGGGCGUUUGAGUCAGCAGGAGUAGACGCGAAACCAAGUGAUCUACCCUUGAGCAGGGUGAAGUUGCCGUAACAGGUAAUGGAGGCCCGAACUAUUUGACGUUGAAAAGUCUUUGGAUGACUUGAGGGUAGGGGUGAAAGGCUAAUCAAACUUGGAGAUAGCUCGUACUCCCCGAAAUGCAUUUAGGUGCAGCGUGUGGAAUAAGUUUAUAAGAGGUAGAGCGACUGAUUGGAUGCGAGGGUUUCACCGCCUGUCAAGUCCUGACAAACUCCGAAUGCUUAUAAAUAUUUCCAUGCAGUGAGGGCGCGGGUGCUAAGGUCCGUGUCCGAGAGGAGAAGAAUCCAGACCAUCAGUUAAGGUCCCCAAAUAUAUGCUAAGUUGAACUAACGAAGUCGAACUGCCCAGACAGCUAGGAUGUUGGCUUGGAAGCAGCCAUUCAUUUAAAGAGUGCGUAACAGCUCACUAGUCGAGCGGUUUGGCGUGGAUAAUAAUCGGGCAUAAGCAUAUUACCGAAACUGUGGAUACUGUUUUAGACAGUAUGGUAGGGGAGCAUUCCAUAUAGCGUAGAAGGCGUAAGGUAACUUACUCUGGAGCGUAUGGAAAAGCAAAUGUAGGUAUAAGUAACGAUAAUGCGGGCGAGAAACCCGCACGCCGGAAGACUAAGGAUUCCUGAUCAACGCUAAUCGGAUCAGGGUUAGUCGGGGCCUAAGGUGUAGCCGACAGGCGUAGCCGAUGGAAGAAACGGUUAAUAUUCCGUUACUACUGUAAAGAGCGAUGUGGGGACGAAGCAGUGACAGUUCUGCCAGCAGACGGACUUGCUGGUUGAAGGGUGUAGAUAUUGAGAGUUACAGGCAAAUCCGUAAUUUGAGUUGAACCUGAAAGUAUCGGGCGUACUUGUACAACCGAAAAUGGACGUAAUCAGACUUCCAAGAAAAACCGCUAAGCAUAUUUUUACAGUACCCGUACUACAAACGGACACACGUGGUCAAGUAUAGCGUACUAAGGCGCUCGAGUGAUUCACAGCUAAGGAACUAGGCAAAAUAGCCCCGUAACUUCGGGAGAAGGGGCACCUACCCAGUGAUGGGAGGUCGCAGAGAAAUGGCUCAGGCGACUGUUUAUCAAAAACACAGGGCUAUGCAAAAACGAAAGUUGAGGUAUAUGGCCUGACACCUGCCCGGUGCUGGAAGGUUAAGAGGAGAGCUUAGAGCAAUCGAAGGUUUGAAUUGAAGCCCCAGUAAACGGCGGCCGUAACUAUAACGGUCCUAAGGUAGCGAAAUUCCUUGUCGGGUAAGUUCCGACCUGCACGAAUGGUGUAACGAUCUGAGCACUGUCUCAGCUGUGAGCUCGGUGAAAUUGUAGUAUCGGUGAAGAUGCCGAUUACCCGCAACGGGACGAAAAGACCCCGUGAACCUUUACUGCAACUUUACAUUGAAUUUGGGUAAUUGAUGUGUAGGAUAGGCCGGAGGCAAUGAAGCAGGUACGCCAGUAUUUGUGGAGCCAACCUUGAAAUACGGCCCUUUGAUUAUUUGAGUUCUAACGAAUGGAUAUUCGGACAUUGUAUGGUGGGUAGUUUGACUGGGGUGGUCGCCUCCAAAAGCGUAACGGAGGCUUCCAAAGGUGCGCUCACGCCGAUUGGUAACCGGCGGCAGAGUAUAAUGGUACAAGCGCGCUUGACUGAGAGACCAACAAGUCGAUCAGGUGCGAAAGCAGGGCAUAGUGAUCCGGUGGUUCCGUAUGGAAGGGCCAUCGCUCAAAGGAUAAAAGGUACUCCGGGGAUAACAGGCUGAUCAUUCCCAAGAGCUCAUAUCGACGGAAUGGUUUGGCACCUCGAUGUCGGCUCGUCACAUCCUGGGGCUGGAGAAGGUCCCAAGGGUUGGGCUGUUCGCCCAUUAAAGUGGCACGCGAGCUGGGUUCAGAACGUCGUGAGACAGUUCGGUCUCUAUCUGUUGUGGGCGCAGGAAAUUUGCGAAGCUCUGACACUAGUACGAGAGGACCGUGUUGGACGAACCUCCGGUGCACGAGUUGUUACGCCAGUAGCAUAGCUCGGUAGCCGCGUUCGGAACGGAUAAGUGCUGAAAGCAUCUAAGCACGAAGCCGGCUUUAAGAUUAGAUUUCCACAGAGGGUCGUUGAAGAUGACAACGUUGAUAGGUUACAGGUGUACAACAGAGAUGUAAAGCCGAGUAAUACUAAUAGCCCGAAUGCUUUUU
This 2884-nucleotide ribosomal RNA is filed under the name Bacteroidia bacterium. Its description in RNAcentral is "23S ribosomal RNA". It matches the Rfam family "Bacterial large subunit ribosomal RNA". Lineage: Bacteria; Pseudomonadati; Bacteroidota; Bacteroidia. The record is from RNAcentral.